AGCAGCCGCGGUAAUUCCAGCUCCAAUAGCGUAUAUUAAAGUUGUUGCAGUUAAAAAGCUCGUAGUUGAAUUUCGGGAUCAGUUGGUCGGUCGUGCCUCGGUACGUACUGGUCAAAUUGAUUCCUACCUUCUGACGAACCACGAUGUCAUUAAUUUGGUGUCGUGGGGAAUCAGGACUGUUACUUUGAAAAAAUUAGAGUGUUUAAAGCAGGCUCGCGCUUGAAUACAUUAGCAUGGAAUAAUGAAAUAGGACGUUUGAUUCUAUUUUGUUGGUUUCUAGGAUCGGCGUAAUGAUUAAUAGGGAUAGUUGGGGGCAUUAGUAUUCAAUUGUCAGAGGUGAAAUUCUUGGAUUAUUGGAAGACUAACUACUGCGAAAGCAUUUGCCAAGGAUGUUUUCAUUAAUCAAGAACGAAAGUUAGGGGAUCGAAGACGAUCAGAUACCGUCGUAGUCUUAACCAUAAACUAUGCCGACUAGGGAUCGGAUGAUGUUAAUUUUUUAAUGACUCAUUCGGCGCCUUAC
Molecule: ribosomal RNA, 520 nt
Filed under: uncultured Glomus
Lineage: Eukaryota; Fungi; Glomeromycota; Glomeromycetes; Glomerales; Glomeraceae
Description: SSU rRNA
Rfam family: Eukaryotic small subunit ribosomal RNA
Source: RNAcentral